Molecule: ribosomal RNA, 404 nt
Filed under: uncultured bacterium
Lineage: Bacteria
Description: partial 16S ribosomal RNA
Rfam family: Bacterial small subunit ribosomal RNA
Source: RNAcentral
GAUGAACGCUGACAGAAUGCUUAACACAUGCAAGUCAACUGUGGCGGACGGGUGAGUAACGCGGAAAGAACUUGCCUCACAGCUAGGGACAACAUUUGGAAACGAAUGCUCAUACCUGCUACUGUGAGAGGGCUUUGCUUCCCAUUAGCUAGUUGGAGAGGUAACGGCUCACAAAGGCGAUGAUGGGUAGCCGGCCUGAGAGGGUGAUCGGCCACAAGGGGACUGAGACACGGCCCUUACUCCUACGGGAGGCAGCAGUGGGGAAUAGUGGACAAUGGACCAACGUCUGAUCCAGCAAUUCUGUGUGCACGAUGAAGUUUUCGGAAUGUAAAGUGCUUUCAGUUGGGAAGCGGUACCAACAGAAGAAGUGACGGCUAAAUACGUGCCAGCCGCCGCGGUAAUAC